UACGUAGGUGGCGAACGUUAUCCGGAGUUACUGGGCGUAAAGGGUCCGCAGGCGGGCUUGCAAGUCUGACGUGAAAUCUUCUGGCUCAACUAGAAGAGGUCGUUGGAAACUGCGAGUCUAGCAUCCCGCAGAGGUCGGUGGAAUUCCCGGUGUAGUGGUGGAAUGCGUAGAGAUCGGGAGGAACCUCGAAAGCGAAGGCAGCCGGCUGGGCGCGGAUGGACGCUGAGGGACGAAAGCGUGGGGAGCGAACAGG
RNAcentral lists this ribosomal RNA (253 nucleotides) under uncultured bacterium. Its description in RNAcentral is "partial 16S ribosomal RNA". It matches the Rfam family "Bacterial small subunit ribosomal RNA", at positions 524 to 776 of the family's 1533-position model. The record is from RNAcentral.